CUUUGGGGACCAGCUCUCGGGAAGAAAGGACUGCAGGAUGGAGGAGGGUUUUGACUUGCCCUGGUGUGUGUGUGUAAACUGGGAUCCGGAGUUUGACAGCAGAGGAGAGACUUCUGGUGUGAAGAGCAGAGCGAUCCUGGUCCCCUAGGGAGUACACUUGAUAAGCAAGAGACCAGGUACAGAUUCUUUCAGAUCUUACAGUUCUCAAAGAGCAAGCAAAUGUCCUCUUUCCAAGCCUCACAUUUAGACUGACUGCUGGCAGAUAGAAAACUUCUUGAAGGAGGCCUCGGCUUUGAAGGUUUGUUGUAAGACCGUAACACCUAACUCAGGGGUGGAAGUGGGUGCUCUGCCUUAGCCUUCCCAUGGUUACACCAAGAGGAUCUGGACGACCACUGCUCCUGAGAGGCCAAUGUUUCUACUUCGUGGCUUUAACCAGUGUGCUCUGGCUGCCAUCUGCACAGACCCGAGAGUCUUUUCUUCCACAGAGGUUUCACCUUCAACUGCCUACAGCAUUUGGUCUCUUCUGGAGGAAUUUAAGAGGGCCGUACCAGCAGCACAUCAAGGAUCCCAGCCUAGGGGUCUAAAAGGAGCUACAGCUGCCGGCCUACUCCACAGCCACAGCAGCGCAGGAUCCAAGCCGAGUCUGCGACGUACACCACAUCUCACGGCAACUAAAGAUCCUUAAUCCACAUAGCGAGGCCAGGGAUCGAACUCUCGACCUCAUGGUUCCUAGUCAGAUUCGUUUCCACUUCACCACAAUGGGAACUCCAAGGAUCCUAAACUUCGUGAAGGCAGAAUGCUCGCUUAACUCAUUUCUGUAUUCGUCCCACAAAUUUUAUUGAGCUUUGUAAGUGCACAAAAAGGAGUUGUUAACAAAUAAAUGAUGAGCAGAGUGAAUUCACCUAGACCUAAGGAGAUGGGGCUUCCAUGAGGGCAGGGAUGAGGUGCUCUAUCUCCAUUAAUCUGAGGUGAGGAUGUGGGCAGGGAAUCCCCAUCAGCUGCAGAGAUGGCUGCAAAGUGGUGAGAAUGGGCUGACAGACCAAACGUUGCAAGUUCUGUAGAGGACUGUCACCAACCUUUGGAGAUUCCAGCUUUAGAUAAUUUUUUCUCAUGAUAUUCAUCAAAUAUUCAUUAUUGGGAGUAGAAAAUUUCCCAGUCUCUGGGGCCAUCUUUUUAUGUACUAAGAGCCCUGUUUCUGAAUGGAACUCUCUCACCUCUGGCCCCACCCUAUUAUUAAGGGUUGGCUAGAAUCCAUGUGUCCUUUGGACUAGGAAGCUGCAUAACCGAUGGUAAAUGCCUCCCCCUUUUGUCACCCCAGCAGUUCCAGGCUGAGUCAUUUUCUAAAUAAGCCACUUGUGGUUUUUGGUCUGACAUCACAUGUGGAAGACUGAGUAAUUUUUUAAGAACCAGAAUUAAAGUCGAUCAGAAUAAGAUACAUUGUGUACGUUACUCAUGGUUCUAGGACAAGGGGUCAACGCUGGUAACAAGUACCCUAAGCUUCUCCUACCCCUCCUUUCCCUGGGGCUGAGGGACAGGGAGAAGGCCAAGGAAGGAGGUGGGGAUGGAUAUGAAGAAUUUUUGUGUGCAUCUCUAAUUUUGUUAAUACAUUAUGUACAGUAAAAUUAUAUCUUGUUGCCACUUCCAGAUUAAAUAAAAGUAAUAUAGCAAAGUAGGUAAGGCCUGGGGGCUCUGCUGCUUGGGUUCAAAUCCCAGCUUCACCACAUACCAGUUGGGCAAGUUACUGAUUCUUGAUUCGCCUGCAUUUCCUCAUUUAUAAAAUAAUAGUAUCUAUGAUGUAGGGUUGUUGUCAGGAAUAAAUGAAUUGAUAUAUGUUGAGUGCUUAGAAUUGUCUGGAACUUAGUAAGCACUAUGGAAAUAUGACUAAAUAUUUCUGUGAGUCCACCACAACGUUUAUGCUCAUAUUAAAUGUUCAAUAAAUGGUUCUUGAU
This 1949-nucleotide long non-coding RNA is filed under the name Sus scrofa (pig). Its description in RNAcentral is "lncRNA (ENSSSCG00005027654.1)". Lineage: Eukaryota; Metazoa; Chordata; Mammalia; Artiodactyla; Suidae. The record is from RNAcentral.